GACGAACGCUGGCGGCAUGCCUAAUACAUGCAAGUCGAGCGAACAGAUGAAGUGCUUGCACUUCUGACGUUAGCGGCGAACGGGUGAGUAACACGUAAGGAAUCUACCUAUAAGCGGGGGAUAACACUCGGAAACGGGUGCUAAUACCGCAUAAUAUCUUCUUCCGCAUGGAAGAAGAUUGAAAGACGGCUCUGCUGUCACUCAUAGAUGACCUUGCGGUGCAUUAGUUAGUUGGUGGGGUAACGGCCUACCAAGACGAUGAUGCAUAGCCGACCUGAGAGGGUGAUCGGCCACAUUGGGACUGAGACACGGCCCAAACUCCUACGGGAGGCAGCAGUAGGGAAUCUUCCGCAAUGGGCGAAAGCCUGACGGAGCAAUGCCGCGUGAGUGAAGAAGGCCUUCGGGUCGUAAAACUCUGUUAUAAGAGAAGAACAAAUUGUAGAGUAACUGCUACAGUCUUGACGGUAUCUUAUCAGAAAGCCACGGCUAACUACGUGCCAGCCGCCGCAGUAA
This 513-nucleotide ribosomal RNA is filed under the name uncultured bacterium. RNAcentral's name for it is "partial 16S ribosomal RNA". It matches the Rfam family "Bacterial small subunit ribosomal RNA", at positions 28 to 523 of the family's 1533-position model. The record is from RNAcentral.